Molecule: long non-coding RNA, 524 nt
Organism: Clupea harengus (Atlantic herring)
Lineage: Eukaryota; Metazoa; Chordata; Actinopteri; Clupeiformes; Clupeidae
Source: Ensembl
CUGAUAUAGAACACAGGUAUGAUAUAGAACACAUGUAUGAUAUAGAACACAGGUAUGGCCCUGAUAUAGAACACAGGUAUGAUCUAGAACACAGGUAUGAUAUAGAACACAGGUAUGGCCCUGAUAUAGAACACAGGUAUGAUAUAGAACACAGGUAUGAUAUAGAACACAGGUAUGGCCCUGAUAUAGAACACAGGUAUGAUAUAGAACACAGGUAUGGCACUAAUAUAGAACACAGGUAUGGCCCUGAUAUAGAACACAGGUAUGAUAUAGAACACAGGUAUGAUAUAGAACACAGGUAUGAUAUAGAACACAGGUAUGGCUCUGAUCAAGAACACAGGUAUGAUAUAGAACACAGGUAUGAUAUAGAACACAGGUAUGAUAUAGAACACAUGUAUGAUAUAGAACACAGGUAUGGCCCUGAUAUAGAACACAGGUAUGAUAUAGAACACAUGUAUGAUAUAGAACACAGGUAUCUGAAGGACUAGAAGGAAAGGAAAGAAGAGACUGGUCUCUACACACAC